ACUGCUCAGUAACACGUAGACAACCUACCCUCAGCACGGGGAUAAACCCGGGAAACUGGGUAUAAUACCCGAUAGUUCUGGUUUGCUGGAAUGCUUUCAGGACGAAAGCUCCGGCGACUGAGGAUGGGUCUGCGGCCUAUCAGGUAGUAGUGGGUGUAAUGUACCUACUAGCCUACGACGGGUACGGGUCGUGAGAGCGAGAGCCCGGAGAUGGAUUCUGAGACACGAAUCCAGGCCCUACGGGGUGCAGCAGGCGCGAAAACUUUACAAUGCUGGCAACAGCGAUAAGGGGACCUCGAGUGCCAGGAUACAAUCUUGGCUGUCGUAAUGCCUAAAAAGCAUUGCAUAGCAAGGGCCGGGCAAGACCGGUGCCAGCCGCCGCGGUAACACCGGCGGCUCGAGUGGUAACCGCUAUUAUUGGGUCUAAAGGGUCUGUAGCCGGCCGGAUAAGUCUCUUGGGAAAUCCAGCUGCUCAACAGUUGGGCUUUCAGGAGAUACUGUUCGGCUCGAGGCCGGGAGAGGUGAGAGGUACUUCAGGGGUAGGGGUGAAAUCUUGUAAUCCUUGAAGGGCCACCAGUGGCGAAGGCGUCUCACCAGAACGGACCUGACGGCAAGGGACGAAAGCUAGGGGCACGAACCGGAUUAGAUACCCGGGUAGUCCUAGCCGUAAACGAUACUCGCUAGGUGUCAGCCACGGUGCGACCGUGGUUGGUGCCGUAGGGAAGCCGUGAAGCGAGCCACCUGGGAAGUACGGCCGCAAGGCUGAAACUUAAAGGAAUUGGCGGGGGAG
Molecule: ribosomal RNA, 790 nt
Filed under: uncultured archaeon
Lineage: Archaea
Description: bacterial SSU rRNA
Rfam family: Archaeal small subunit ribosomal RNA
Source: RNAcentral